This 87-nucleotide transfer RNA is filed under the name Cordylochernes scorpioides. RNAcentral's name for it is "tRNA-Tyr". The record is from RNAcentral. Lineage: Eukaryota; Metazoa; Arthropoda; Arachnida; Pseudoscorpiones; Chernetidae.
UCCCUCGAGCCGGAUUUGAACCAGCGACCUAAGGAUCACCCAUGUAACAUCUACAGUCCUCCGCUCUGCCAACUGAGCUAUCGAGGG